Oreochromis aureus is the source of this 887-nucleotide long non-coding RNA. NCBI's taxonomy places the organism in Eukaryota, Metazoa, Chordata, Actinopteri, Cichliformes, Cichlidae. The record is from Ensembl.
AAAACUAAGUAAGCUGGAAGGUUUGCUUCUCAGUGCGGAAGGAUGAAAGAUGUGUUUUGAAAAUGCCACGUCACUACCGUCCUCCUCCCUCGCGGAUCAGUCCGCAUGUUCACGGUACAUUUUUUAUGGAAUAUGUUGAGCAAACCUGGAGAAGCGUCAGCUCAAGAGAUUAUUGUUGUCAUUGCUGUGGAUUUUUACCUGAUAAACUGACUUGGCUCGGGACCAGCACUCCUGUUGUUGGACAGAAAGACAUCAACUCAGUGACUUGAGAUAUGACUGCACUAUGCUGUUGCUGGUGACUCCAGUUAAUUCUACAAGACUGUGUUCAACAAGUGACCGGGCGCCUGUUUAGCUCACUAGGAUGAGCAGAAAUGCUGUUUUCCAGAGAAGCUGGUUAUGUUUCAUAAUCAUUUGGGUCUCAGUCACAGAGGAUUCAUGGAAAACAAGAGAAACACACAGAGCUUCUACACAAAGUCUGUAAGAGUGUAUCCAGAUUCCUGAACCAUGAUGUCAGCAUGUUAUGGAUGGUCGUGGCUUUUUCAGUGCUCCAUGGCUUAUGCUCAUGUGCAUGCUCACCAUUUUUCCUUCAGCUGGAUCCUGUGACAAGAGUUUAUUACUCAAGCUAGGUCAUGCACAUUUAGGCAAAAAUUAUGAGUGACCACAUGUGAUGAAAUCUUGGAUGCAGUACUACUACUACUACUACUACGACUCUAAUAAUAAUAAUCAUUAUAAUAAUUUGGGUUUAGAGCCCUCAUAAAUAUAAAUACUGAAGUACAGGAGAUGACCAUGUGAAUUUAUACUCCGUCAGUAUCAGAACAGAGCAACCAGAAGUUAACUUUGACUUCUGCACGUCAGAACAUACAACAUACGUUAUGCACUACAAUGAG